RNAcentral lists this ribosomal RNA (433 nucleotides) under uncultured bacterium. Its description in RNAcentral is "partial 16S ribosomal RNA". It matches the Rfam family "Bacterial small subunit ribosomal RNA", at positions 29 to 507 of the family's 1533-position model. The record is from RNAcentral.
AACGAACGCUGGCGGCAUGCCUAACACAUGCAAGUCGAACGAGACCUUCGGGUCUAGUGGCGCACGGGUGCGUAACGCGUGGGAACCUGCCCUUAGGUUCGGAAUAACUCCCCGAAAGGGGUGCUAAUACCGGAUAAUGUCUUCGGACCAAAGAUUUAUCGCCUUUGGAUGGGCCCGCGUUGGAUUAGCUGGUUGGUAGGGUAAAAGCCUACCAAGGCGACGCUCCAUAGCUGGUCUGAGAGGAUGAUCAGCCUCACUGGGCCUGAGACACGGCCCAGACUCCUACGGGAGGCAGCAGUGGGGAAUAUUGGACUAUGGGCGAAAUCCUGAUCCAGCUAUGCCGCGUGAGUGAUUAAGGCCUUAGGGUUGUAAAGCUCUUUUACCCGCGAUGAUAAUGACAGUACCGGGAGAAUAAGCGCCGGCUAACUCCGUG